This 719-nucleotide long non-coding RNA is filed under the name Capra hircus (goat). Its description in RNAcentral is "lncRNA (ENSCHIG00010016229.1)". Lineage: Eukaryota; Metazoa; Chordata; Mammalia; Artiodactyla; Bovidae. The record is from RNAcentral.
CUCUGCUCAAAAGGAAAGGUGUGUGAAGUAUACACAUCCAUGCAACAAUGGAAAAGCUAAGAAUGGAUUCCUGACGCUGUUAUCAGUAACAGGCAUAUGCAAGAACACCUGGUCACCAGUCCCAACUACCUUUGGAUAAGAUUAAAAAACCACAUGGCCAAAAGUUAAGCAACACAGUUUUGAACCUUGUUCUAAUUAAAAUGUNNNNNNNNNNNNNNNNNNNNNNNNNNNNNNUAAAUUAAAUGUUCCAGAGAGUUUACUGGGAAGGGAAGGUUAAGAGAAGAAUUGUAUCCAAAUACUUUAUGAAAAUUGCUUGUUAAGGCACUAUACAUCUUCUUUGGUUAAAUGAUCAACUAUUUUAAUCACAUGGAAAAAAAAGAGGGAGUUAUUCAAAAUUAUCUACUAAAAACUUCUGUUGAAAAUACGAAAAAUGAAUUUGUGUCUCAAAAAUAUCACUUGAUAUACUUUACGUUAGUGUUCAUGGUCUUUUAUAAAACAGGGCAAUGUUGUAUUAAAGCAAGAAUUGUAGUAAAUGGCACUCAGAUUAUAAAACUAACUCAUGAUAUUGCCUGUUGUGUACAGGUACAUUUCUUUUGGCUAUUAACAGAAUAAAAUCAAGGAGUUAUAACUAGGAGAAUAAUUUCUUCUCUGAGCUUUAGAGAUCACUAAGAAUAUUUCAAGUCAAUUAGACCUUCUUAAAAACUCUUAUUCUACAGUCU